Long non-coding RNA from Mobula hypostoma (lesser devil ray), 1178 nucleotides. RefSeq lists it as uncharacterized. The record is from RefSeq and is a predicted model, not a curated record. The transcript has 5 exons. NCBI's taxonomy places the organism in Eukaryota, Metazoa, Chordata, Chondrichthyes, Myliobatiformes, Myliobatidae.
AUGUGUGUUGCAAUGACGGCACAGUCGUUCCCGUUCCCUGGACUCGGGACACGGUAGCGCUUAUCUUACCCGCCCCUCCUCCAGCCACUGACCUAUGCGCUCGGAUACAGGUCCCUGGUAGCCGAGAAGAGUGGGGGGCUUUCGAUUCAAAUCCCACCGGUCAGAGGGAAAGGUUCGAGUUAGGAGCGACCUGAAACUAGAGCGCUUCCUCCCGUCAGGAGAAAAACAGUCGCAAGAAGCAGAACCGGUUCUUCCUGCUCCUGCUUCCGAAAGAAACCGAAAGUGAAUCGGGUAUAUAUAGGUGCUGAGUCAGAAGGGGGAAUGCGAGCAGUAGAUGGUGGUACGCAGAGUUGCAUGGACGGUGCACACACAACGCUGGAGCAGCUCAAACCGAGCGGGUCUGCAGAGUAAUCCUGGUGUCUGUGCAGCGGAUCACAGCAUCAUUCCCUUUGCUGAAUGUGCUCACGCAGAGUGAGCAGACCGUGACUACCAAGCGAAGGUCAGCGUGGCACCUGCCAUUUCACUCGGGAUACCAGCUCUCUCAGCUGCCCCUGCCUCCCGAAUGCUGGGCAAAGCCUGCACCUUCGCAGCCUCCGAGAACCUUUCCGGGACACCUGCAUCAAGGGUAAAGGAGACAGACUGUGCUGUCGGAACAGCCGCCAGGCCAGGGUAGAUGCCGGCCGUGUUAAACUGAUCUACAGCUGGAUUAUCCACCACACUGUCUACUGUGAGAUCGGCUUCGGCUUGUCAGAUGUGGAGUGUCCUGAACAGGGGACCAUGGUAGACCAGGUGUCUAACUUGCCACUGAUGAAUUCUUGGAAGCCAAUAUCCACCAGGAUGGAGGGAUGGGGUGGAAGAAAGAUGCUGAACUCCACGAGUGUGGCUGGACAGACAGUAACUCAAGUGACAGUGGGAGUUGGUGUGCCUAUCGUUCUGGUUCUUGUUCUGUGGGUCACCUGAGGUAAAACCCACCAGCAAGUGCUCUUGCUCAUCGCACCCUCUUCUCAUUCCUGCCAUCAGGGAAGAGGUACAGGAGUCUGAGGAUGCACAUUCAACAUUGUCGGAUUGGCUGCUUCCAUUCCACCAUCAGAUUUCUCAAUUGUCCAAAUCUGAUAUAUUUUGCUCAAUAUAUUUAUUUUUAUAUAUUUCUUAUUGUAAUGUUUUUAUUCCAUUCAAAA